RNAcentral lists this ribosomal RNA (1242 nucleotides) under metagenome. RNAcentral describes it as "bacterial SSU rRNA". It matches the Rfam family "Bacterial small subunit ribosomal RNA", at positions 90 to 1308 of the family's 1533-position model. The record is from RNAcentral.
GUAAAGUGGCGCACGGGUGAGUAACGCGUGGGUAAUCUACCUUCGAAUUGGGGAUAACGUUGCGAAAGCGACGCUAAUACCGAAUAACAUCCAUUAACCUUCGGGUUUUUGGAUCAAGGGUGGCCUCUACAUGUAAGCUACUGUUUGAAGAUGAGCCCGCGUACCAUUAGCUUGUUGGUGGGGUAAUGGCCUACCAAGGCAGCGAUGGUUAGCUGGUCUGAGAGGAUGAUCAGCCACACUGGAACUGACACACGGUCCAGACUCCUACGGGAGGCAGCAGUGAGGAAUUUUGCGCAAUGGGGGAAACCCUGACCAGCAACGCCGCGUGAGUGAUGAAGGCUUUCGGGUCGUAAAGCUCUGUCAAGUGGGAAGAACCUGCAGUAUGCUAAUAUCAUAUUGCACUGACGGUACCACUGAAGGAAGCACCGGCUAACUCCGUGCCAGCAGCCGCGGUAAUACGGGGGGUGCAAGCGUUAUUCGGAAUCAUUGGGCGUAAAGGGCACGUAGGCGGCCUGGUAAGUCAGAUGUGAAAGCCCUGGGCUUAACCCGGGAAGUGCAUUUGAUACUGUCAGGCUUGAGUAUGGGAGAGGGAAGUGGAAUUCCUGGUGUAGAGGUGAAAUUCGUAGAUAUCAGGAGGAACACCGGUGGCGAAGGCGACUUCCUGGACCAAUACUGACGCUGAGGUGCGAAGGCGUGGGUAGCAAACAGGAUUAGAUACCCUGGUAGUCCACGCAGUAAACGUUGUUCACUAGGUGUAGCGGGUAUUGACCCCUGCUGUGCCGCAGUUAACGCAUUAAGUGAACCGCCUGGGGAGUACGGCCGCAAGGUUAAAACUCAAAGGAAUUGACGGGGGCCCGCACAAGCGGUGGAGCAUGUGGUUUAAUUCGACGCAACGCGAAGAACCUUACCUGGAUUUGACAUCCCGGGAAUCCUAUCGAAAGACUGGAGUGCCCUUCGGGGAGCCCGGAGACAGGUGCUGCAUGGCUGUCGUCAGCUCGUGUCGUGAGAUGUUGGGCUAAGUCCCGCAACGAGCGCAACCCUUGUCUUUAGUUACCAUCAUUCAGUUGGGGACUCUAAAGAUACUGCCCCGGUCAACGGGGAGGAAGGUGGGGAUGACGUCAAGUCCUCAUGGCCUUUAUGUCCAGGGCUACACACGUGCUACAAUGGGCUGUACAAAGGGUCGCGAACCCGCGAGGGUAAGCCAAUCCCAAAAAGCAGUCCCAAGUUCGGAUUGGAGUCUGC